GAAAAGUACUGCAGGAGCAGAAGAAAACUGUUUUGGCAAACUACAGAAGACUUGGUUGAAAAAGGCAGUUCCAUGUGACCUGUGACACGGCCCUGAGCUGUGUCGGUGGCACGGACAAGCCACACAAGUUCAGCAAGAAGCCAGUAAGGAACAUCACAGGAGCUGGAGCAGCAACUUCUUGCCUGCAGGGCUGACGCCGCAGCUCGGAAGGGGUUACACGCACCUGGAUGGGAGAUGUCAGGUGCACUGUCUGCAAGCCAAAGAGGCGGAAAUGUCACGGCGCCUGCCAGGGACCUGCUUCUGGUCCUGCGAAAGCGAGCGAGAGGUGCAGACUGCUGUUUUCCAGCAAAAACACACAGGCUGGAAAGGUGGAUGCACCGCAAGUGCUGACACAAGCUUAAUUACACAGCACCGCAGAACAGACAGACUUAUGAAAAAUGCAGUGUGGGAACAGAAUAUUUCUACCACCCCCUGUUAGCUGCUUACAGGCAGCUGCAGCACUGCUCUGGGCUUCUUAGCUGCAGCUCUUACUGCCUGUAGCCCAGUCCUUGCUCCCUUCUCCCUUCCCAGAAGAGGUGCUCGGUAAAAAUACGGGCAGCUGCCUGAAAUGUGCAGCAAGCGUGUGCUGACUUCGACCUCAACAGCCGGGAUGCUGAAGGAUGCUGUCCCAGGGGCUUGUGGCUCUUUGCUGUGACACCGGGCACCUCCCGCCCUUCGGCCGUGACACUCGAGGGGACCAGCUUUGAUAAAGGGCCCUGCUGGAAAGGCUUCGUGUGCGUGAAAACCCAACUGUGAUGAAACUGCCUCAAACUGCAUGGCCCCAUUUCACCUGUGCUUCUUGACGCAACAGGAGGCAGCGGCUGCGUGCGGGGAACACACCCAGGCCCGGUGGGCCUUCAUCUACGGCCUCCAUGCACGCCCCGACACCCCGACCCCGCCACGACACCGCACCCCGACACCGCACCACGACGCCACCGACGCCGCGCCGCAGCUUUCCCACGGCCGCGCGCCGCGUGGGCGGCGCCGCGGCGGCUGGGGCGGGCGGCUAUUGGCCGAGCGCGGCGCGGCGGCGGCCAAUGGGUGAGGCGGGGGCCGCGCGUGGCGGCGGGCGGCGGCU
Molecule: long non-coding RNA, 1117 nt
Filed under: Anser cygnoides (Swan goose)
Lineage: Eukaryota; Metazoa; Chordata; Aves; Anseriformes; Anatidae
Description: lncRNA (ENSACDG00005000501.1)
Source: RNAcentral